UACGACGGGGGCUAGCGUUGCUCGGAAUCACUGGGCGUAAAGCGCACGUAGGCGGAUUGCUAAGUCAGGGGUGAAAUCCUGGAGCUCAACUCCAGAACUGCCUUUGAUACUGGCGACCUUGAGUCCGGGAGAGGUGAGUGGAACUGCGAGUGUAGAGGUGAAAUUCGUAGAUAUUCGCAAGAACACCAGUGGCGAAGGCGGCUCACUGGCCCGGUACUGACGCUGAGGUGCGAAAGCGUGGGGAGCAAACAGG
This 253-nucleotide ribosomal RNA is filed under the name uncultured bacterium. Its description in RNAcentral is "partial 16S ribosomal RNA". It matches the Rfam family "Bacterial small subunit ribosomal RNA", at positions 524 to 776 of the family's 1533-position model. The record is from RNAcentral.